UAGCACGCCGGACGAAAUGCUUAGCCACUUUUUGUCCGGCUUUACGUUCUGAGUUCAAAUUCCACCGAGGUCGACUUUGCCUUUCAUCCUUUCGGGGUCGAUAAAUUAAGUACCAGUUGCGUACUGGGGUCCAUCAAAUCGACUGGUCCCCGUCUCCAAAUAUUGUGGGCCUUGUGCCUAGAGUAGAAAAGGAAUGGGUUAACCUAUUCAUGCCGAUCGUCCGUG
Octopus sinensis (East Asian common octopus) is the source of this 225-nucleotide long non-coding RNA. RefSeq lists it as uncharacterized. NCBI's taxonomy places the organism in Eukaryota, Metazoa, Mollusca, Cephalopoda, Octopoda, Octopodidae. The transcript is spliced from 3 exons. The record is from RefSeq and is a predicted model, not a curated record.